This 673-nucleotide long non-coding RNA is filed under the name Ictidomys tridecemlineatus (thirteen-lined ground squirrel). RNAcentral describes it as "lncRNA (ENSSTOG00000034854.1)". Lineage: Eukaryota; Metazoa; Chordata; Mammalia; Rodentia; Sciuridae. The record is from RNAcentral.
CCAGUAUCAUCUUGGUCAGUGAAGCACUUUUAUUCUGAUUACUGAACAAAUCAGUUGUAGAACCUCAGGACUGCCUGGGACUUUAAGUACUUACCCCUUUUCUUCUGUGCUAAGAAAUAAAUUGUGCUUUAUUAACAAGCAUUUUUAAAAGCUGAUUAACACUUUGAGGCUAUUUUAUUAUUUUUAUUUUAUUCAGUAAUAGUUUUAAAUAGUUUAAAUAUCUUUCAAAGUAUAUAAAAGAUGGUAUAAUACUGACAUAAAAUAGUACAGUCUUUAAGAUUCUUGGGUUAACCAAAUAUGUAUAUAGUAAAGAACUUCUGCAUUCUAAUGUUCAUAUUUUGCUUUUUAGGCCAUCUGUGUAGGACCAGAAAACAUGCAGAUAAUGUAUCCAGCUAUAUUUGACCAGUUACUGGCAUUUGUAGAAUUUUCCUGUAAACCUCCACAGUAUGGACAGCUGGAAACAAAGCACAUUGCAAAUGCAAAAUAUAAUCAGGNNGAAUGGGUAGCCUUGAAUUAUGUACCAUUUGCUGAAAGGUCUUUAGAAGUAGUUGUGGAUUUAUACCAAAAAACAGCCUGUCAUAAAGCAGUGGUGAAUGAGAAGGUUCUACAGAAUAUUAUUAAGGUAUUUUUUUUCAUUUCUAUACUUUUAUGACUAUAUCACUGAAAUUACUCU